GCGGCGUGCCUAACACAUGCAAGUCGAGCGAGAAACAAUCAAAUGAUUCCUUCGGGAUGAACUUGAUUGUGGAAAGCGGCGGACGGGUGAGUAACGCGUGGGCAACCUGCCCUAUACAGAGGGAUAGCCACUGGAAACGGUGAUUAAUACCUCAUAAUACUACAUUAUCACAUGAUGAUAUAGUCAAAGAUUUAUCGGUAUAGGAUGGGCCCGCGUCUGAUUAGCUAGUUGGUAAGGUAAUGGCUUACCAAGGCAUCGAUCAGUAGCCGACCUGAGAGGGUGAUCGGCCACACUGGAACUGAGACACGGUCCAGACUCCUACGGGAGGCAGCAGUGGGGAAUAUUGCACAAUGGGGGAAACCCUGAUGCAGCAACGCCGCGUGAGCGAUGAAGGCUUUCGGGUCGUAAAGCUCUGUCCUAAGGGAAGAAUAGAUGACGGUACCUUAGGAGGAAGCCCCGGCUAACUACGUGCCAGCAGCCGCGGUAAUACGUAGGGGGCAAGCGUUAUCCGGAAUCAUUGGGCGUAAAGGGUGCGUAGGCGGCCAGAAAAGUCAGAGGUGAAAGGCUACGGCUUAACCGUAGUAAGCCUUUGAAACUAUUUGGCUUGAGUGCAGGAGAGGAAAGUGGAAUUCCUAGUGUAGCGGUGAAAUGCGUAGAUAUUAGGAGGAACACCAGUGGCGAAGGCGACUUUCUGGACUGU
RNAcentral lists this ribosomal RNA (700 nucleotides) under uncultured bacterium. RNAcentral's name for it is "bacterial SSU rRNA". It matches the Rfam family "Bacterial small subunit ribosomal RNA", at positions 39 to 737 of the family's 1533-position model. The record is from RNAcentral.